This is a long non-coding RNA of Telopea speciosissima, 291 nucleotides long. RefSeq lists it as uncharacterized. The transcript has 2 exons. Lineage: Eukaryota; Viridiplantae; Streptophyta; Magnoliopsida; Proteales; Proteaceae. The record is from RefSeq and is a predicted model, not a curated record.
AAAAUCGGGUUGCAGUUUAAUUUUAACUUGACCACAAUUUCGCCGAAGCAGUGCAUUUUUUGCCGGUGAGUUUCGGUUGGCCAUUUCGGGGGUAAACGGCAAUAUUAAGCCCCAAUACUUCAGGGAAACCUUAUUUUAGCCUAUAUAAACAUAUGUAAACCUUUACAUUGCAAGAAAAGUCACAAAAAUGGUGGUUUGGAUUUGCACCCGUGGUUGGCAGUAUAUGCCGAACCUAUUGUAUACCUUGUGUAAUAUUGCUUAUUCUACAUAUUUUUUUAGUACUAGAAGACA